This 72-nucleotide transfer RNA is filed under the name Phrynosoma platyrhinos (Desert horned lizard). RNAcentral's name for it is "tRNA-OTHER". Lineage: Eukaryota; Metazoa; Chordata; Lepidosauria; Squamata; Phrynosomatidae. The record is from RNAcentral.
AGCCAGGUGGUGUAGUGGUUUGAGUGUUGGACUAUAACUCUGGAGACCAAAGUUCAAAUCCUGUCUUGGCCA